AAGAGCCCAGCGCUGAAUCCUUUGGCCUCUGGCUACCAGGAAAUGUAGCGUAUAGGUGCAACUGUUCGUUCUCUUCGCGCACCCAAAGUCCCCUUGAGCGGGGCUACAGUCCAUAGAAGGUGCUAGACCUGUACGGGUGGCGAGGUGUUCGAUAGGUUGCUCCUUGGAGUCGGGUUGCCUGAGAUCGCAGCCCAAAGAGGGUGGUAAACCUCAUCUAAGGCUAAAUAUGACCACGAGACCGAUAGCAAACAAGUACCGUGAGGGAAAGUUGCAAAGAACUUUGAAGAGAGAGUUCAAGAGGGCGUGAAACCGCUGAGAUGGAAACGGAUAGAGUUGACGAAACUCGGCGGCAUUCAACCGGUCAGCUUAGUGGCCUUGCGGUUUUGCGCCUCGAUGAGGGCAAGGACGUGAGUGUCUAUUGAGCACUUGAUUGGUGUAUUUGCCGUCGGUAUGCGCCGAGAGCUUCGGCUUCGUGCGCUGACGUAUGUGUAGUGGACCACUCCUUCCGGGCGUGGAACCCUGCGCAUAUUGAGGCGCAUCGGAGGUGAGGUUGGUAUACGGUCCCCGCUUAGGCGCAACGGUUAUUGCGUGUUUGGCGUUGCUGUUGGGCGGUCGCGUGCGACUUGCCUAUAGUUAGCGUUGAUCCGUGGUGAUGCAGAUGCGUUGGGACAUGUAUCUCGGUGUGAACGUUGACCACCUAUCCGACCCGUCUUGAAACACGGACCAAGGAGUCUAGCAUAUGCGCGAGUCAUUGGGUGGAAAACCUAAAGGCGUAAUGAAAGUAAAGGUCGUCUUGACGCGGCUGAUAUGGGAUCCGCACGGUUUCGACCGGGCGGCGCACCAUAGCCCCGUCCCCGUUGCUUGCAAUAGGGCGGAGGUAGAGCGCAUACGCUGGGACCCGAAAGAUGGUGAACUAUGCCUGAGCAGGAUGAAGCCAGAGGAAACUCUGGUGGAGGUCCGAAGCGGUUCUGACGUGCAAAUCGAUCGUCUGACUUGGG
This 998-nucleotide ribosomal RNA is filed under the name Cosmocerca longicauda. Its description in RNAcentral is "partial large subunit ribosomal RNA". It matches the Rfam family "Eukaryotic large subunit ribosomal RNA", at positions 103 to 915 of the family's 3401-position model. Lineage: Eukaryota; Metazoa; Nematoda; Chromadorea; Rhabditida; Cosmocercidae. The record is from RNAcentral.